AUUGGAGACGGAUUGCUGAAGCCCACCCCCGAGCCACAACGCUAUUGGAAGAAGCGGGGAAGCUCUUCCUGUCUCAUUGGAGGACACCACAUAACCCGCCCCGCAGCGUCUCAGCCACAGGCCUAACAAGUUGGCUCCCGCCUCCGCCGGUCAUCGCAUUGGAAGGCUACCCCUGGCUCUCCCACCGCCCCAGUAAGUUUACGUUCUACACACUGCGUCCUUGUAAACACAAAUAUCCGGAGCAGCUAGCAACUCCUUUCAGCCAAGUACAGAACUAAGAUCUGGAGACCUAGGCGGAGAAAUAACCCAUAACCCC
Molecule: long non-coding RNA, 316 nt
Filed under: Rhinopithecus roxellana (golden snub-nosed monkey)
Lineage: Eukaryota; Metazoa; Chordata; Mammalia; Primates; Cercopithecidae
Description: lncRNA (ENSRROG00000045916.1)
Source: RNAcentral